Molecule: ribosomal RNA, 190 nt
Filed under: uncultured bacterium
Lineage: Bacteria
Description: partial 16S ribosomal RNA
Rfam family: Bacterial small subunit ribosomal RNA
Source: RNAcentral
CCUACGGGAGGCAGCAGUGAGGAAUAUUGGUCAAUGGGCGCGAGCCUGAACCAGCCAAGUAGCGUGCAGGAUGACGGCCCUAUGGGUUGUAAACUGCUUUUAUGCGGGGAUAAAGUGCAGCACGUGUGCUGUUUUGUAGGUACCGCAUGAAUAAGGACCGGCUAAUUCCGUGCCAGCAGCCCGCGGUAAU